This 663-nucleotide long non-coding RNA is filed under the name Mus pahari (shrew mouse). RNAcentral's name for it is "lncRNA (MGP_PahariEiJ_G0006293.1)". Lineage: Eukaryota; Metazoa; Chordata; Mammalia; Rodentia; Muridae. The record is from RNAcentral.
GACACACUUCCAUGAUGACCUUGAGAUGACUGUAAGUUCAUGCUUGGUUGAAGCCACCCUGAGAUGUUCAAGGUUCUGACUGUGCUGCCAAAAGGAGGAGGGUGGGACCAGCUGUGGCAAGUGCCUCUGGUGAUGCCAAACUUCAGUGUAGAGUCCGGCGUAUCCUCACCAAGCACUGUAUGCUGCAAUCCCUCUCCUGCUGUUUACACUGGAGGGCUGACUUUCAGCAGGAUUGUGAGGUCAGAGGGUGAAGAAACAGAAGCAACUGCCCACAGGAAAUAUGCUGCAGCUUCCUCCACAGACAAGGAGUCCUAGGAGAGCCUGACUCCAUGGAAACAGCAUGUGUGCACAGCAUUCUUAGAGGCCCGCUCCAAUUCUCCUUAGAAGCUGCUGCGCCACUGUGGGUUUUCACAGUGCUCAAUCCUAAUCCGAAAUCCUUAAAACCAAAGCAGCAUCAUUGAAUCACAGACCAUCAGAAAAGAGAAGCUGCUGACUGCUCAGAUGCCCUCAGUGCACAGACGGGGCUUACAGAAGAGCCAAGGCGUUGCUUGCUGAAGUGUGGUGUUUACCUAUAAGGUUGACAUCACAUCAGUUGCACUGAACUUGAUUAAAGCUGCGCUCCACUGGCUCCCACAAAUGCCCUAAAACUUGGGAGAAUAAAAA